UACGUAGGGUGCGAGCGUUGUCCGGAAUUAUUGGGCGUAAAGAGCUCGUAGGCGGUCUGUCGCGUCGAUCGUGAAAACUUGGGGCUUAACCCUGAGCUUGCGGUCGAUACGGGCAUGACUGGAGUUCGGCAGGGGAGACUGGAAUUCCUGGUGUAGCGGUGAAAUGCGUAGAUAUUGGGAGGAACACCAGUGGCGAAGGCGGCUACCUGGACCGGUUCUGACGCUGAGGCGCGAAAGCGUGGGUAGCAAACAGG
Molecule: ribosomal RNA, 254 nt
Filed under: uncultured bacterium
Lineage: Bacteria
Description: partial 16S ribosomal RNA
Rfam family: Bacterial small subunit ribosomal RNA
Source: RNAcentral